RNAcentral lists this long non-coding RNA (5009 nucleotides) under Bemisia tabaci. RNAcentral describes it as "lncRNA ENSSWEETPG013686". Lineage: Eukaryota; Metazoa; Arthropoda; Insecta; Hemiptera; Aleyrodidae. The record is from RNAcentral.
UUAACAUAAGCUACUAUUUUGCUUAACCCCAAGCAUCAUUUUCUUGAAUCAAGAAAAAGUCAGCUUAAGGCAAUAAAAAAAAUUCUUGGCGGCAAAUUCAAGAAUCAUCAUGCUUGAUCCAAGCUACUUUUUUUUUUCAGUGCGUGCAAAUAAUUAUUUUAUACAUGCCACACUUAAAAAAUAACCUCUUCGUUUAGUUCGAGUUUUACUACUUUUAUUUUUCCCUCGUUUGUUUGAAUAUAGAACUAACGGAGAUUUAAUCUGUUUCAGACCUUGCUUACUACUGCUCUGGCGCUAGCCAGCUUUGUCUACGCAGAGGACAGACCACAACUAAGGAGGUGGAAAAAGAUGGCAAGAAGCAAGACAAGCGAGGUCUCUUCGGUCUAGGCUACGGAUACGACUCCUACUCCGGCUACGGACUCGGCUACGGCCACGACUCCUUCGACUCCUCCUUCGACACGGAUUAGGCAGCUACGGAGGAUCUUCUCUCGGCAGCUACGGAGGUAGCUACGGAGGCUCUUCAUUAGGCAGCUACGGUGGAUCUUCCUUGGGCAGUUACGGUGGUUCCUCAUUGGGUAGCUACGGUGGCUCUUCAUUAGGCAGCUACGGUGGUUCCUCAUUGGGUGGCUCUUACGGAGGCUCCUACGGAGGCUACGAGUCCGCUCCAUCUUACUCAUCUGGUAGCAGCUACGACUCUCACGGCUCCUACGAGUCAUCCUCUUACCCAAGUUCCUCAUACGGCGGCUCAUCCUACGGUAGUUCCAGCUCUCCAAGCUCCAGCUACGGACCCCCCAACUACACCCCUGGUGCACCCAUCGGAUCCUCCCAUGGCUCUGACAAGUAUAAGCGAGCUAACCCAAAGCAGUAAUAUGACACGUGAUUGAGAAAUUACUUGUGUAUUAUUAUUCUGACUGAUAUUCAGUUACCAAUGCACGGCUGUAGUGGCCCAAAAGCGGCGUUUGUCCUCUCACAACUUAAGUUCUCCUCACUGGUCGGACAGCGAGACUGAAGCUGUUCCAAUACAAACUUCACCUGAAAAACAUCAUCAGUAAAUUAGUUUGUACUCGUUUGUUGCUGAUCCAGUUCGACGGUGUGAAACAACCGGUCAAAAAUCUGAUUUUCCAGUUAUUUUGGAAAAUUUCAAGUCAUUGCAAGUCAUUAUUGUUUAAGUCAUUCAAGUUAGAAGUUAUUUUUAACUUAUUUUGUUAAAAAUGCGUUUAAUAAAUUCUAGGUAGUUUAUAUGUUCGUAAACCUGACUUCAUAUUUUUAUCAAUCCCAAUCUCCGACCUUACCAGUAAACCUUUAGUUAUCGUUCGAAAUAAUUAUUUAAUAACGCAGUUGAACGUUUCAAAGCAGACUGCUCAACUUUAUUUUUUAUUUUUAGUGACGAAAUUUCACUGAAAAUUUCCAGCAACAUUAUUAAGUAGUUAAUUUUCUUUUUAAACCUAAAAUAUUACAGGAAACACUGCAACUUUACAUUCUUUACAUUUUUUUUCAUUCUUUUUCGUAAUUUUUUUCUCGCUGAAGAAGCUAAUUAACCUUCAAGCUAAUAAAAGCACUUAUAUCUAAUAAAACAAUUUAAGUUCUAAGUUUGAGCUCUCACUUUCUAAUCCUGGCUUGGUUUUUUCAGUAGUUUAUACUUUGCUUUCAAAUCAGACUGCGCGCACUAAGUUCCAUCUUUUAUGAAUUCGCAAUGAGUGUCAAAACCAGCAGGUAAUGUUGAGGCUUUGGCUCUACUUUGAACAGCCGGGUUAUAGGGUGGAUUGGUCUCUCCCAAAAAUGGCGGGUAGUAAGGAGGUGCCCUUGGCAAUGGUCUUCCUGUUUUGAGCUUUUCUUUUUUAUAAAAACUGAACACUACCCAGAUGAAAUACGCUAAGAAAACUGGAAUCAAAUGAAAAUUAUUUACUUAUAAAAAGAUAAAAGCAUUUAAUUAUGUUUUUAUUAUUUCUAUCGUCGUAUUGAAUAAUAAUUUACUCUCUCUCUCUGUAUCCAAAGGUAUAUAGGAAGUAAGUAUGGAGUGAAAUAAUUACAAAACUUCAGAUGACCAAAUUGUGAGAAGAAAAAUUCGAGUUGCGUAACAUUUGAAACGCAAGGAGUAGAAUUUGAAUCAUUUAAAAUUUCUCACGCUUGCUCCUCUCUGUUGCCAUUGAAUCGUUUUGUGCAUAUAUUCUUAAUGUUAUGCGUGAUAUAAAAUGCAUAAAAAUUUAUUAUGAAGUUACGUGAUUUUACCAUGAAAUGAUGCUGAAAUUAGAAAUUGAACGUGAUCGGCUGACAUCUCUCUCUUCUCUUUAAAAAAAUGGACAAAAAGGAGGGGAGUAACUAGGUGGCAAGUGGUUUCGUUCAAUCCUUAUAAUAAUUCUUAAUUUCAAAACUAACAACACCUUCUACAUAGGAACUAUCAAAUCUGGAAUGCCUCUUGUAGCUAAAAUUCAUGCUUCAUUAUACCGUAACUUGACAAAUAGGUAAUAAAUUCUUGCGCUUUCAGGAUGAUUUCGUAUUAGUUGGACAGCUUUAUUUCCUAUUCUAUCUUGUUUCUGUUCAAGAAGGAGGAAAGCAAAUCCUCUUUUACUUACUACCAUGCGAAACUGCAGAGAUGGCAUCAGCUAUGAAAUACUCCGGAUAUUGACCUAAAACACUCAUGAUGGCGAGAUUUGUGCAAGAGACCCCCGUCUCCGUUAUACACGUUUGACUGAACAUUAUGAGCCAUGGUAGGAAAUAAUCUGGUCGCCCCUGUACAAUUUUAAGUCAGUAAACAUUGAGUUAAUUUUAUUAUUCAUACAUUGGAUUUUAACAUUUCUAAAAUUCUUACACUGAAUCAUUUUUAAAAAACCAAACCAUCCUAAAAACAAUGAAAGUUCAAUGAGGUCAUGCAAUAGACAAUUAAAAAAGCAUAUACUCGUGAAUGGUAAGGCACGAGAAAUACAUGUCUUAUAUGAAAAAGUAUGCUGAUGUUUUAUCAUUUACUAGUGAGAUUUCAUUGUUUAGAGAUAAUUGAAGGUUACCAAUAUCAAGAUAUUAAAAUUUUAAGUAGUCUUGAAACUGGCAAGUCUCCAGAUAAUUUGGUUAGAUAGAUUUAUUGCCUCCAACUUCUAUGAGGCUGAGAGUUGAUAACACCGCAUAUGAAAAUGAAUGAAGUAAUUCCUUGAAGUUAUAAUAGCCAUAAUUUAAAUUUUAGUACCUGCCUACGUCUUCUAGGAGUGUUAAGAUGAAAACUUUCAGGUUUACACUAAUUCCUUAAAUUGAAACCAUAACAUAAAUUUGGUGAAGAUCACCUACUUUUGGUUCUAAGCCAUUUUCAUAGAUACAAGGGUGGAUAAAUGAGUUAAUUACCUUAUCCAAGGCAAAAAUUCCGAGAGCGCAGGCUAUAACCUGGAAGAAAGCAGUGAUACCUGUCAUGAUAACAUAACGUUGAAUGUAUGUUCCUUUCGUGAAGAACAGUAGCUGAUCAAUUCCUGUUUGAGAUCAAAGCACAUUAAUGUGAAUGAGCGGAUUCCUGCAGCUCUUAAUGUACGAAAUAAGCGCUGAAGUAAUUUAAUUUGAGCAUUCUACUUCUGGUCUUGAUAUUCACUAUGAUAUGCGUAAAAUGCUUAUAAAUUGUGAUCGUUUAUUUCAGUUGUAUUUAAAUUAGCUGUGAGGCUUUUCUAUCAAAUAAAAAAUGGGUAGCUUUUUCAUAGUUUUGCAUGAGUCUCACAUUUUUAAUCAAUUUUCUUCAUUAGCUUUUGAACCGAAAUAAAAAUAGUUGAACAUUUUUCCUCUCAUUAAAACAAUUUUUCAGGUGUACAAAUAAGAGUGUACAGUAAGGUUCUAGAUCACUUUAUUGGAAAAUAUUUCCCCGUUGAAAAUGCUUAAAUCUACUCAAGAUAAAAGUCUAAAGGCUAAUUUGAAAUUUUGGACGGACCAUAGCUAUCGAAAUCCGCUUCUACGAUACUUUCCAUCGUUUGAAAUUUGACGCUGGUACUUUCAAACCAAAUCCAGUAGAAAGGAACACAUUUUUUUCACAAAAAGAGGUCUGUUUGUUAGUUGCGAGAUUAUAAACUCCAUACAAGUGAUUCUCAUGCAGUUAGUUUCUCUCUCUGAACUGAUUAGACUUGUUUAUUCAGGGGGAAGGGAACUACGCCAUUGAAAAUUCAAAGGAAAUAAUAAUUUUUUGCAUUAAAUUUGAUUCCCUCGGUCGUAAAUAAAAAAAACCAAAAGGCUCUAAGUUGACUAAGAUUAAGUUUUGAUUUCUCCUCAUGCAACAAAAAAUCCAAAAAAAACUUGGUUGCUCUCUACUUAUAUUAAACUAUUUUUACGGAGAGGAAGGGCCGCCAUUUCUUGUGCAAAGAAGGUAUCUGAAGUUAAAAAUCAGUUUCUAAAAAUGACGUUUUUCGGGGAAAUUUUCGAGAUGGGGGGGGGAGUUCAGGCAUCUGAGCCCUAUCUGUGGCUACGCCUUCGACCUGGUAACUGGAACUAGAAUGAUUUUCUUUUGUAUCAUACGACGCAACCGAUCUUUGGCAACACUAGCCUUGAUGCCACGUUUCAUAUAGUCACCUCACCACCGCGCUCCCUUUCCAACCUCUUUGUCCGACGCAGAUGUGUCCCACCGACGUCGAAGCGUCUCCGUCAAGCGUCGACGUCGCGUCGGCGUCGCGGUGCGCGGGAAACUGGCGAUUGAUGUAAGAGGGAAAACUCACCGUGGCCGAUUUCGUAAUAGAAGGAGCUGUUGGAGGGACGCGGGUAAUUCGUGACGAUUUGAUUCGCCUCGCUUCGCAGCAGAGACGUGGCCAGGUAUAUCGUCGUGAAGACCAGUAGCAACCUCGUCAGCUGAAACAAUCGAGCACACGAAAAAUUACACGGGUAAGUUACAGGCCCAUUGAAAUUCAAUCACAGCAAAAUCGAUGAGUGGUAAAAAUAUGGGUCGAGUGUACAGUGGCGUUACUUGACUGAAAACUGAAAGGGAGAAGCUAGCCAAGUUUAAAAUUACCCGCGAACAUUGAAUUACACAGUAUGGUAAUAUAUGAAAAGAUAAU